Long non-coding RNA from Chenopodium quinoa (quinoa), 492 nucleotides. RefSeq lists it as uncharacterized. The transcript has 3 exons. The record is from RefSeq and is a predicted model, not a curated record. NCBI's taxonomy places the organism in Eukaryota, Viridiplantae, Streptophyta, Magnoliopsida, Caryophyllales, Amaranthaceae.
UGACAUUCCUAAACAAUUGUUGAAGAUCAACUUGUACUUUCCUCUUCAAUUCUUCAUCAUAAAGAGAAAUCACUCUUUUGAUUGGAUCACCAUAAUUUGAUUAUCCAAAUGCCAUAAUUUCUUUCAUUUACUUGUAUAUGAUUUUCUUUUUCUUCAAGCUUCCGCUCUAAACAUGGAUGUGAUUGUGAUCAAACGAGCAAACGAUCAUGGAUGACUGGGGUAUGAUUUUGACGAUCGUCUUGUUUUCCCCUUACCGUUUCGAGUUCGUAGUGCUAAUGAAGAUGAAUACUACUUCUGCUACAAGAUGUUGGUUGAUGAAUUGGAGGAGCUCAUAUCAGGAUGAUGUUGGUUGAUGAAUUGGAGGAGCUCAUAUCAGGGUAGGAUCCUGAGAAAAGUGCUUAAAGGUAUAUUACCUUUAUCUAGCUAUUCUCAUGAGUUCGCAUUUGUUAUACACAUUUUGCACCAUGUACCAUUUGUCCAUUUGUUUUUUUG